AUGCCUACUAUCGAGCUGAACUCCAAUACUUGCAUCCGCCACCCUAACGCUGGCGUGUUCCCUCAGUCCUCUCUCGACAAAUCCAACAGUACAGGUUCUCCGGUGCGCCAAGUAUUGCCUGUGGCGAUGCCUGCAUCAUGGCCAAUUGAGGAGAUCUUGUGUAUUCCACAUAGAAGAAAUAUUGUCAGUUCAAGAAUAGAGAAUUUCUGUACCAGACUUAAUAUUAGUUUGGUGCGUAUUCUAUCUUCAGUCCAUGAAAAAUCACAGAAUAGUUGGUGCGUGUGUAGAAAAAUCGUCGGUGCAAGUUUCAAAAUUCUGUAA
Molecule: ribosomal RNA, 321 nt
Filed under: Triticum aestivum (bread wheat)
Lineage: Eukaryota; Viridiplantae; Streptophyta; Magnoliopsida; Poales; Poaceae
Description: partial small subunit ribosomal RNA
Source: RNAcentral